Molecule: ribosomal RNA, 1399 nt
Filed under: uncultured bacterium
Lineage: Bacteria
Description: 16S ribosomal RNA
Rfam family: Bacterial small subunit ribosomal RNA
Source: RNAcentral
AGAGUUUGAUCCUGGCUCAGGAUGAACGCUAGCUACAGGCUUAACACAUGCAAGUCGAGGGGCAGCAUGGUCUUAGCUUGCUAAGGCCGAUGGCGACCGGCGCACGGGUGAGUAACACGUAUCCAACCUGCCGUCUACUCUUGGACAGCCUUCUGAAAGGAAGAUUAAUACAAGAUGGCAUCAUGAGUCCGCAUGUUCACAUGAUUAAAGGUAUUCCGGUAGACGAUGGGGAUGCGUUCCAUUAGAUAGUAGGCGGGGUAACGGCCCACCUAGUCUUCGAUGGAUAGGGGUUCUGAGAGGAAGGUCCCCCACAUUGGAACUGAGACACGGUCCAAACUCCUACGGGAGGCAGCAGUGAGGAAUAUUGGUCAAUGGGCGAGAGCCUGAACCAGCCAAGUAGCGUGAAGGACGACUGCCCUAUGGGUUGUAAACUUCUUUUAUAAAGGAAUAAAGUCGGGUAUGGAUACCCGUUUGCAUGUACUUUAUGAAUAAGGAUCGGCUAACUCCGUGCCAGCAGCCGCGGUAAUACGGAGGAUCCGAGCGUUAUCCGGAUUUAUUGGGUUUAAAGGGAGCGUAGAUGGAUGUUUAAGUCAGUUGUGAAAGUUUGCGGCUCAACCGUAAAAUUGCAGUUGAUACUGGAUAUCUUGAGUGCAGUUGAGGCAGGCGGAAUUCAUGGUGUAGCGGUGAAAUGCUUAGAUAUCACGAAGAACUCCGAUUGCGAAGGCAGCCUGCUAAGCUGCAACUGACAUUGAGGCUCGAAAGUGUGGGUAUCAAACAGGAUUAGAUACCCUGGUAGUCCACACGGUAAACGAUGAAUACUCGCUGUUUGCGAUAUACAGCAAGCGGCCAAGAGAAAAGCGUUAAGUAUUCCACAUGGGGAGUACGCCGGCAACGGUGAAAACUCAAAGGAAUUGACGGGGGCCCGCACAAGCGGAGGAACAUGUGGGUUUAAUUCGAUGAUACGCGAGGAACCUUACCCGGGCUUAAAUUGCAGAUGAAUUACGGUGAAAGCCGUAAGCCGCAAGGCAUCAGUGAAGGUGCUGCAUGGUUGUCGUCAGCUCGUGCCGUGAGGUGUCGGCUUAAGUGCCCUAACGAGCGCAACCCUUGUUGUCAGUUACUAACAGGUUCCGCUGAGGACUCUGACAAGACUGCCAUCGUAAGAUGUGAGGAAGGUGGGGAUGACGUCAAAUCAGCACGGCCCUUACGUCCGGGGCUACACACGUGUUACAAUGGGGGGUACAGAGGGCCGCUACCACGCGAGUGGAUGCCAAUCCCCAAAACCUCUCUCAGUUCGGACUGGAGUCUGCAACCCGACUCCACGAAGCUGGAUUCGCUAGUAAUCGCGCAUCAGCCACGGCGCGGUGAAUACGUUCCCGGGCCUUGCACACACCGCCCGUCA